Molecule: RNA transcript, 1185 nt
Organism: Biomphalaria glabrata
Lineage: Eukaryota; Metazoa; Mollusca; Gastropoda; Planorbidae
Gene name: nicotinamide riboside kinase 1-like
Exons: 9
Source: RefSeq, a predicted model, not a curated record
CCUUUGACAGUAGUCCAACUCCUGGCAAGUAUCUGGCACUGAGGCAGACAGAAAAAAAUGGAAAUCCAAAGUGACCAAAACUCUGCUGCCUUGCAGCUAGAGGAGAAGUGGCUGAAAAGGUGCAGCAUCCUCCGGAUGCCACAAAUAGAGCAGAGGGGUUCCACACACAGCGCUGAGGGGUACCUAAAGGUCUCAAAGACCAAUAUAGUUAUCAUGAUUAAAUCAUAUAAAGGUCUUAAAAUGAAAAACUAUUUGAUUAUAGGAAUUAGUGGCUUCACUAACAGUGGAAAAUCCACAAUAGCUACAAUGCUUUCAAAAGAAAUUUGUAAUUUGGAUGUUAUGAAUCAAGACCUUUAUUUUUUAGAACCAGAUGAUCCUGCUAUUGAAAGAGAUAUUCAUGGAAUACGAAAUUUUGAAAAGUUGAGUGCUUUAGAUAUGGAAAGAAUGGUACAAGAUGUCAAACUUUGGAUUAAAUCAAAAACUUGCAAUUCAGAUUCACUAUUUAUUCUUUUGAUAGAAGGAUUUUUAAUAUUUAAUCACAAAGAACUUAGUGAUUUAAUUGACCACAAAUAUUUCAUUAAAAUCACAAAGGAGAUUUGUUUUGAGCGUAGAAUAAAAAGACAAUACAUUCCUCCAGAUCCUGAUGGAUAUUUUGACAGCUAUGUUUGGCCAUGGACUAUAACAAACUUAAUGGCAAUCCAAGAUUGCACUGAUAUAGGUAGAAACAUGAAGAUCUCACAGUUGUCCAAAAGUAGAAAAGUUAACAUCUCCUAGUAAUUAACUGCCAUGAUUGCUAAUACAAAAGUGAAAAACACACUGCAAAUGCUUCAUGGUCACAUGAAAAAAAAAACAACUUAUACAUGGAAAUAACCACAUUCAUUUAUAUGUCUGGGCUUACAUAAAUCCUUUGCAAGUUGUUCCUGUGCCAACUAAAUUGAAUAUUGAGUCAGGUCAUAUGACUAGCAAGUAGUCCCUCCAACAAUGACUUCAAGAAAAAGCAGUUAUCUGGAUAAAAUAAGUGAUUUCUCUUGAAAUAAGUGAUUGAGAAAUCAUUAGAAUUCAUUGAUGGCACUGCAGAUUUACAGGCACUGUACAAAAGUAUUUUAACAAGAAUCAUGAAGAUUGUUUUUAUACAUAGAGAAAAAUACUUUUAAUAAAUAAAUAAUACAAUUAUGGACAAUUGAA